RNAcentral lists this ribosomal RNA (33 nucleotides) under Abrotanella linearis. RNAcentral describes it as "partial 5.8S ribosomal RNA". The record is from RNAcentral. Lineage: Eukaryota; Viridiplantae; Streptophyta; Magnoliopsida; Asterales; Asteraceae.
GACUCUCGGCAACGGAUAUCUCGGCUCACGCAU